GAAGCCGGGCACUCUGGCGGGACUGCCAUCGACAAGAUGGAGGAAGGUGGGGAGUGACGUCAAGUCAUCAUGGCCCUUAUGUCCAGGGCGACACACGUGCUACAAUGGCCGGGCACAGCGGGAAGCGAGGCAGUGAUGCCGAGCGGAUCCCUUAAAGCCGGUCUCAGUUCGGAUUGAAGUCUGCAACUCGACUUCAUGAAGCUGGAAUCGCUAGUAAUCGCAGAUCAGCCAAGCUGCGGUGAAUACGUUCCCGGGCCUU
Molecule: ribosomal RNA, 259 nt
Filed under: uncultured Synergistaceae bacterium
Lineage: Bacteria; Thermotogati; Synergistota; Synergistia; Synergistales; Synergistaceae
Description: partial 16S ribosomal RNA
Rfam family: Bacterial small subunit ribosomal RNA
Source: RNAcentral